RNAcentral lists this ribosomal RNA (497 nucleotides) under uncultured bacterium. Its description in RNAcentral is "partial 16S ribosomal RNA". It matches the Rfam family "Bacterial small subunit ribosomal RNA", at positions 28 to 507 of the family's 1533-position model. The record is from RNAcentral.
GACGAACGCUGGCGGCGUGCCUAAUACAUGCAAGUUGAGCGCUGAAGGUUGGUACUUGUACCAACUGGAUGAGCAGCGAACGGGUGAGUAACGCGUGGGGAAUCUGCCUUUGAGCGGGGGACAACAUUUGGAAACGAAUGCUAAUACCGCAUAAAAACUUUAAACGCAAGUUUUAAGUUUGAAAGAUGCAAUUGCAUCACUCAAAGAUGAUCCCGCGUUGUAUUAGCUAGUUGGUGAGGUAAAGGCUCACCAAGGCGAUGAUACAUAGCCGACCUGAGAGGGUGAUCGGCCACAUUGGGACUGAGACACGGCCCAAACUCCUACGGGAGGCAGCAGUAGGGAAUCUUCGGCAAUGGACGAAAGUCUGACCGAGCAACGCCGCGUGAGUGAAGAAGGUUUUCGGAUCGUAAAACUCUGUUGGUAGAGAAGAACGUUGGUGAGAGUGGAAAGCUCAUCAAGUGACGGUAACUACCCAGAAAGGGACGGCUAACUACGUG